This is a non-coding RNA of Oryzias latipes (Japanese medaka), 667 nucleotides long. The record is from RefSeq and is a predicted model, not a curated record. Lineage: Eukaryota; Metazoa; Chordata; Actinopteri; Beloniformes; Adrianichthyidae.
AUUCACAAGCCGGGAGCAUAAAUGACCGAGUUGAGCAGCACAUUAAACACUGCAUUCUCCAAGAAAUAUUAAAUAAAAUAAGAGCAUCAACUCUACAGCACAGACAAAAUGCCAGGAACAAAAGGCAAAGGUAACAAAUCGGACAAGAAGUCAAGCACCAAGCAACCUCAGAGUCCUAAAGAACAGCCGAAGAAAGGUGAUCAGAAAGGAGACGAUAACACGAAGCAAGGAGGACAGCCGAAGGGAGAGAAGCAGUAAUUUCAGAGCAUUCGUGAAGAUGGCUUUGGAGACACUGCUGGGAUCUUGUCGUCAUAAACGAGACGGUUCUCUGGGAAAACAGGGCUGACCACUCCUUACCCGUCACUGGCCAUGAAGCUACAGACUAAACUGAUGUGUGGCCCAGCAAUAAAGUUCUUCCACAGAGGCGGACAGUAAAUCUGAUCUCCAUCCAUCAUCUUCUGUUGUCCCCCUCCUGUUACUCUCCAUCUCUCUGCCAGGCCCUCCCUUGUCUUCUCUGUCAGACGGGAUGCUUAAAACCAGACUCCAGGUUAGAGGAGACCUCAGCUCUAAGUGAGGCAACCCCUCCCACCCUUGUUAUCAUCGCUGUCAAACAGCAAAAACAACUUUUGUACAUGAUUAUUCAAAUAAAAAGCUAUUUAUCACAGCA